This 499-nucleotide ribosomal RNA is filed under the name uncultured bacterium. RNAcentral's name for it is "partial 16S ribosomal RNA". It matches the Rfam family "Bacterial small subunit ribosomal RNA", at positions 28 to 507 of the family's 1533-position model. The record is from RNAcentral.
GACGAACGCUGGCGGCGUGCCUAAUACAUGCAAGUCGAGCGGACCGAACAGGAGCUUGCUCUUGUUCGGUUAGCGGCGGACGGGUGAGUAACACGUGGGUAACCUGCCCGUAAGACCGGGAUAACUCCGGGAAACCGGAGCUAAUACCGGAUAACACCGAAGACCGCAUGGUCUUUGGUUGAAAGGCGGCUUCGGCUGCCACUUACGGAUGGGCCCGCGGCGCAUUAGCUAGUUGGUGAGGUAACGGCUCACCAAGGCGACGAUGCGUAGCCGGCCUGAGAGGGUGACCGGCCACACUGGGACUGAGGCACGGCCCAGACUCCUACGGGAGGCAGCAGUAGGGAAUCUUCCGCAAUGGACGAAAGUCUGACGGAGCGACGCCGCGUGAGCGAAGAAGGUCUUCGGAUCGUAAAGCUCUGUUGUUAGGGAAGAAGAAGCGUCGUUCGAACAGGGCGGCGCGGUGACGGUACCUAACGAGAAAGCCCCGGCUAACUACGUG